AUGCUUACCUGGCAGGUGUGAUUCCAUGAUCACGAAGAUGGAUUCCCCAGGUUGAGGCUAGCCCAUUGCACUCCAGACAUGUUGACCCUUGUGAUUUCCCCACACGUGGGAAACUAGGCUGCACAAUUUGUUAUAGUUGGGGACUAUGUGCGUGCUUUCCCCUG
Suncus etruscus (white-toothed pygmy shrew) is the source of this 164-nucleotide small nuclear RNA. RefSeq annotates it as U1 spliceosomal RNA. The transcript has a single exon. Lineage: Eukaryota; Metazoa; Chordata; Mammalia; Eulipotyphla; Soricidae. The record is from RefSeq and is a predicted model, not a curated record.